Molecule: unclassified non-coding RNA, 177 nt
Filed under: uncultured Cladophialophora
Lineage: Eukaryota; Fungi; Ascomycota; Eurotiomycetes; Chaetothyriales; Herpotrichiellaceae
Description: sequence contains ITS2
Source: RNAcentral
UCACCCCUCAAGCCCUGUGCUUGGUGUUGGACGGCCUGGUCGAGCCACGCUCGACCCCUCCUAAAGACAAUGACGGCGGCCUGUGGUUCCCCCGGUACACUGAGCUUUUUACUGAGCACGUAUUGGAUAAGGGCGCCCGGGACACGGUCCUCUCCUUUCACUAGGAAACUUUCCAAA